RNAcentral lists this ribosomal RNA (1267 nucleotides) under Chryseobacterium sp. StRB402. RNAcentral's name for it is "bacterial SSU rRNA". It matches the Rfam family "Bacterial small subunit ribosomal RNA", at positions 86 to 1360 of the family's 1533-position model. Lineage: Bacteria; Pseudomonadati; Bacteroidota; Flavobacteriia; Flavobacteriales; Weeksellaceae. The record is from RNAcentral.
AUCUUGAGAGCGGCGUACGGGUGCGGAACACGUGUGCAACCUGCCUUUAUCAGGGAGAUAGCCUUUCGAAAGGAAGAUUAAUACCCCAUAAUAUAUUAAGUGGCAUCACUUGAUAUUGAAAACUACGGUGGAUAGAGAUGGGCACGCGCAAGAUUAGAUAGUUGGUAGGGUAACGGCCUACCAAGUCUACGAUCUUUAGGGGGCCUGAGAGGGUGAUCCCCCACACUGGUACUGAGACACGGACCAGACUCCUACGGGAGGCAGCAGUGAGGAAUAUUGGACAAUGGGUGAAAGCCUGAUCCAGCCAUCCCGCGUGAAGGACGACGGCCCUAUGGGUUGUAAACUUCUUUUGUAUAGGGAUAAACCUAGAUACGUGUAUCUAGCUGAAGGUACUAUACGAAUAAGCACCGGCUAACUCCGUGCCAGCAGCCGCGGUAAUACGGAGGGUGCAAGCGUUAUCCGGAUUUAUUGGGUUUAAAGGGUCCGUAGGCGGAUCUGUAAGUCAGUGGUGAAAUCUCACAGCUUAACUGUGAAACUGCCAUUGAUACUGCAGGUCUUGAGUGUUGUUGAAGUAGCUGGAAUAAGUAGUGUAGCGGUGAAAUGCAUAGAUAUUACUUAGAACACCAAUUGCGAAGGCAGGUUACUAAGCAACAACUGACGCUGAUGGACGAAAGCGUGGGGAGCGAACAGGAUUAGAUACCCUGGUAGUCCACGCCGUAAACGAUGCUAACUCGUUUUUGGAUUUUCGGAUUCAGAGACUAAGCGAAAGUGAUAAGUUAGCCACCUGGGGAGUACGUUCGCAAGAAUGAAACUCAAAGGAAUUGACGGGGGCCCGCACAAGCGGUGGAUUAUGUGGUUUAAUUCGAUGAUACGCGAGGAACCUUACCAAGGCUUAAAUGGGAAAUGACAGGUUUAGAAAUAGACUUUUCUUCGGACAUUUUUCAAGGUGCUGCAUGGUUGUCGUCAGCUCGUGCCGUGAGGUGUUAGGUUAAGUCCUGCAACGAGCGCAACCCCUGUCACUAGUUGCCAUCAUUAAGUUGGGGACUCUAGUGAGACUGCCUACGCAAGUAGAGAGGAAGGUGGGGAUGACGUCAAAUCAUCACGGCCCUUACGCCUUGGGCCACACACGUAAUACAAUGGCCAGUACAGAGGGCAGCUACACAGCGAUGUGAUGCAAAUCUCGAAAGCUGGUCUCAGUUCGGAUUGGAGUCUGCAACUCGACUCUAUGAAGCUGGAAUCGCUAGUAAUCGCGCAUCAGCCAUGGCGC